CCAAUAGCGUAUAUUAAAGUUGUUGCAGUUAAAAAGCUCGUAGUUGAAUUUCGAGAUCAGUACGCUGGUCGUGCCUUCGGUAUGUACUGGUCUCGCUGAUUCCUCCUUCCUGAUGAACCGUAAUGCCAUUAAUUUGGUGUUGCGGGGAGACUGGACUGUUACUUUGAAAAAAUUAGAGUGUUUAAAGCAGGCUAACGCUUGAAUACAUUAGCAUGGAAUAAUGAAAUAGGACGUUCGAUCCUAUUUUGUUGGUUUCUAGGAUUGACGUAAUGAUUAAUAGGGAUAGUUGGGGGCAUUAGUAUUCAAUUGUCAGAGGUGAAAUUCUUGGAUUUAUUGAAGACUAACUACUGCGAAAGCAUUUGCCAAGGAUGUUUUCAUUAAUCAAGAACGAAAGUUAGGGGAUCGAAGACGAUCAGAUACCGUUGUAGUCUUAACCAUAAACUAUGCCGACUAGGGAUCGGAUGAUGUUAAUUUUUUAAUGACUCAUUCGGCGCCUUACG
This 500-nucleotide ribosomal RNA is filed under the name uncultured Glomeromycotina. Its description in RNAcentral is "partial small subunit ribosomal RNA". It matches the Rfam family "Eukaryotic small subunit ribosomal RNA", at positions 591 to 1092 of the family's 1831-position model. Lineage: Eukaryota; Fungi; Glomeromycota. The record is from RNAcentral.